GAUUGAACGCUGGCGGCAGGCCUAACACAUGCAAGUCGAACGGUAACAGGAAGAAGCUUGCUUCUUUGCUGACGAGUGGCGGACGGGUGAGUAAUGUCUGGGAAACUGCCUGAUGGAGGGGGAUAACUACUGGAAACGGUAGCUAAUACCGCAUAACGUCGCAAGACCAAAGAGGGGGACCUUCGGGCCUCUUGCCAUCGGAUGUGCCCAGAUGGGAUUAGCUAGUAGGUGGGGUAACGGCUCACCUAGGCGACGAUCCCUAGCUGGUCUGAGAGGAUGACCAGCCACACGGGAACUGAGACACGGUCCAGACUCCUACGGGAGGCAGCAGUGGGGAAUAUUGCACAAUGGGCGCAAGCCUGAUGCAGCCAUGCCGCGUGUAUGAAGAAGGCCUUCGGGUUGUAAAGUACUUUCAGCGGGGAGGAAGGGAGUAAAGUUAAUACCUUGGCUCAUUGACGUUACCCGCAGAAGAAGCACCGGCUAACUCCGUG
This 491-nucleotide ribosomal RNA is filed under the name uncultured bacterium. RNAcentral's name for it is "partial 16S ribosomal RNA". It matches the Rfam family "Bacterial small subunit ribosomal RNA", at positions 27 to 507 of the family's 1533-position model. The record is from RNAcentral.